Molecule: ribosomal RNA, 1284 nt
Filed under: uncultured organism
Description: partial 16S ribosomal RNA
Rfam family: Bacterial small subunit ribosomal RNA
Source: RNAcentral
GUAAUACCGAGAUAAUGUCCUUCGUGACCAAAGAUUCAUCGGCAUUGGAGCGGCCUAUCUCCUAUCAGCUUGUAGGUGAGGUAACGGCUCAGCAAGGCAACGACGGGUAGCUGGACUGAUAGGUUGGCCCGCCACAUCUGGACUGAGACACUGACCGGACCUCCACGGAGGGCUGCAGUAACGUGACUAUUGGGCAAUGGGCGAAAAGCCUGACCCAGCAAUGCCGCGUACAAGAUGAAGCCCCUAGGGGUGUCAACUGCUGUCAGGGGUCAGAAAGCUGGUUUCGGCCAGUUGAUCAACCCCAGAGGAAGUCACGGUUAACUUCUUGCCAGCAGCCGCGGUAAUACGACGGUGGCCAGCGUCAUUCGGAAUCAUCGGGCUUCAUGGGCACGCUGGCGGAACAGUGUGUGUUGUGUGAAAUCCCCCGGCUUAACCGGGGAAUUGCACAGCAAACUGCUGUUCUUGAUGCAGGUAGGGGUAGCAUGGAACUCUUGGUGGAGCUGGUGGAAUGCGUAGAUAUCAAGAGGAACGCCAGAGGUGAAGACGGUGCACUGGGCCUGUCCGUGACGCUGAGGUUGCGACAGCGUGGGGAUCGAACGGGAUUAGAUACCCCGGUAGUCCACGCCGUAGACGAUGUCUACUAGGUCGUGGGUGUUCUGACACAUUCACGGCCGGAGCAAAAGUGUUUAGUAGACCGCCUGGGGAGUACGGCCGCAAGGUUAAAACUCAAAUGAAUUGACGGGGGCUCACACAAGCGGUGGAGCAUGUGGAUUAAUUCGAAGCAACGCGCAGAACCUUACCUGGGUUUGACAUGAUUGUAUGCGUUCUCUGAAAGGAGUUAGACUGCUUUCGGGUGAAACUUGCACAGGUGCUGCAUGGCUGUUGUCAGCUUGUGUUGUGAGAUGUCAGGGUUAAGUCCUUUAACGAGCGAAACCCUUGCCGUUAGUUGCCAGCGAGUAAUGUCGGGGACUCUAACGGGACUGCCGGUGUUAAACCGGAGGAAGGUGGGGAUGACGUCAAGUCCUCAUGGCCUUUAUGCCCAGGGCUUCACACGUGCUACAAUGGCAAUUACAGAGCGACGCGAUACCGCGAGGUGGAGCAAAUCGCAUAAAAAUUGCCUCAGUUCGGAUUGCAGUCUGGCAAUUCGCCUGCAUGAAGUCGGAAUCGUUAGUAAUCGCGUAUCAGCAAUGACGCGGUGAAUGUGUUCCUGAGCAUUGUACACACCGCCCGUCAAGUGAUGGAAGCCGGGAGUACCCGAAGUCGGGUUGCUAACCUUUGGGAGGC